CACCUUUGACAUGUACGGAAUCCUUUAGAGAUAGAGGAGUGCUCGAAAGAGAGCCGUAACACAGGUGCUGCAUGGCUGUCGUCAGCUCGUGUCGUGAGAUGUUGGGUUAAGUCCCGCAACGAGCGCAACCCUUGCCAUUAGUUGCUACGAAAGGGCACUCUAAUGGGACUGCCGGUGACAAACCGGAGGAAGGUGGGGAUGACGUCAAGUCCUCAUGGCCCUUAUAGGUGGGGCUA
This 236-nucleotide ribosomal RNA is filed under the name uncultured bacterium. RNAcentral describes it as "partial 16S ribosomal RNA". It matches the Rfam family "Bacterial small subunit ribosomal RNA", at positions 976 to 1216 of the family's 1533-position model. The record is from RNAcentral.